This 345-nucleotide unclassified non-coding RNA is filed under the name soil metagenome. RNAcentral's name for it is "partial contains 5.8S ribosomal RNA, internal transcribed spacer 2, and large subunit ribosomal RNA". The stretch from base 1 to 120 matches the Rfam family "5.8S ribosomal RNA", at positions 35 to 154 of the family's 154-position model. The record is from RNAcentral.
GAUGAAGAACGCAGCGAAAUGCGAUAAGUAAUGUGAAUUGCAGAAUUCAGUGAAUCAUCGAGUCUUUGAACGCACAUUGCGCCCCCUGGUAUUCCGGGGGGCAUGCCUGUCCGAGCGUCAUUGCUGCCCUCAAGCACGGCUUGUGUGUUGGGCCUCCGUCCUCCUCCCGGGGGACGGGCCCGAAAGGCAGCGGCGGCACCGCGUCCGGUCCUCGAGCGUAUGGGGCUUCGUCACCCGCUCUUGUAGGCCCGGCCGGCGCUUGCCGACACAUCAAUCUUUUUUCCAGGUUGACCUCGGAUCAGGUAGGGAUACCCGCUGAACUCAAGCAUAUCAAUAAGCGGAGGA